CCUACGGGGUGCAGCAGUGGGGAAUAUUGCACAAUGGGCGCAAGCCUGAUGCAGCCAUGCCGCGUGUAUAAAGAAGGCCUUCGGGUUGUAAAGUACUUUCAGCGGGGAGGAAGGCGAUAAGGUUAAUAACCUUGUCGAUUGACGUUACCCGCAGAAGAAGCACCGGCUAACUCCGUGCCAGCAGCCGCGGUAAUACGGAGGGUGCAAGCGUUAAUCGGAAUUACUGGGCGUAAAGCGCGCGCAGGCGGUCUGUCAAGUCGGAUGUGAAAUCCCCGGGCUCAACCUGGGAACUGCAUUCGAAACUGUCAGGCUGGAGUCUUGUAGAGGGGGGUAGAAUUCCAGGUGUAGCGGUGAAAUGCGUAGAGAUCUGGGGGAAUACCGGUGGCGAAGGCGGCCCCCUGGACAAAGACUGACGCUCAGGUGCGAAAGCGUGGGGAGCAAACAGGAUUAGAUACCCUUGUAGUC
Molecule: ribosomal RNA, 465 nt
Filed under: uncultured bacterium
Lineage: Bacteria
Description: bacterial SSU rRNA
Rfam family: Bacterial small subunit ribosomal RNA
Source: RNAcentral